Lonchura striata (white-rumped munia) is the source of this 1662-nucleotide long non-coding RNA. RefSeq lists it as uncharacterized. The record is from RefSeq and is a predicted model, not a curated record. NCBI's taxonomy places the organism in Eukaryota, Metazoa, Chordata, Aves, Passeriformes, Estrildidae.
UAGACACACAUUGAAAGACACUCGAACAAGGUCGUUCUGCCUUGCUGCAAAGUCCAACCAGAUUAUCAGUAAAAGCCUUAUCCAAAAUCCUUUGAUGUCAAACAGAGUAUUUCUACUGGCUGGAUUUAAUAUUGAAUGCAGAUUCAAUCCAAACUGGAGUGCAACAAUCAACCACUCAACUCCACAACUCUCCCUGGCGACACUCAUGGGAUUUCAAACUGUAACCUCACAUUGGAAAUUUCUGCAUCCAAUUACCACUUAUCAGAGGCCACCAAUCUCUUAAACUUUAAUGGUUAAAGAAAACUCACUGUUUGGUUUACAAAGGCAAUAAACACCUUAAUGCUUUCAUCUUUGUUUUCUCUAGGAAAUGACUUAAGAAGAAAACCCUCUAACAGUGAUCUCAGCAUUCAUACAGCAGUGAACUUCAGAUACAGUAAUUGCAUCGCUGAGAGCUAUGACGACUUUCCCAUGGGGGAGAAAUGACCUGGUAAUUCACGAAUGACAAAGUCAAAAGUAAGGUAAGCCGGGGGAGGGAAAGGAUUUCCCCCUAGGAUGAGAUAAAUGUAAUUUCUCACAGCAGUGUAUAUGUCUCUUAAGCCUCAGGUGGUUUUAAGUUAAUGAGAUUAGUUCCAGCAGGCAGUGAAAUCCCAGGAUAUAGGAAUUAUAUUUCAUCAGUUUUCACUUCAUCCAGCAAGCACGGUGGAGUCAAUCUUUGUGUCAUUUUGUUAUUGUCCUGGUUUGGGUCUUGUUCUCAGGCUCAAGCCUGGCUAAAGCACCUCAUAACUUUGACUUAAAAGCUUAAGCAUCAUGUAAAGAGUGUGUUUAAAUGUUUGAAAGGGAGGAGAAAAGCACCAGGCCUAAUCUGUAGAAAAGGAUUUUUUUGUUUCACUUUUCAGAUGUGCUUCUAUUCAUGGAAUUUGUUCUUGUACUUUCCCUAAACCAAGGUCACAUGCAUUUUUAUCCUGGACACACAAAAAGCCCUCAGAAUGCACUGCUGUAAGAAGCACUGCCUUUAUAAUAUUUACACCCUAAAAAUAUGGACAUUAACAGGUCCUGAUGACUGGCUAGUUCAGUAUUUUAAUAAUAACCAAAAAGAGCUCCUCUCCAGUGACCACCCACUGGAUGUUCAAGCUGCAGUUUCCAGUCCCCAGAUCUGCUCAUACAAGAACACCUUCACUCCUUUAUGCCAUUACAACAGCUGUAAAGAAGAAGGCUCUUAAAAGAUUAAAAAUAAGGUCAGAUGAGAACACUGAUUUCCACUAAGAAUUCUUCUACAACCAGCCCAAUUUUUACUUACUAUCAUUGAAUAACCGCUAAUUUAGCAAUUGUUUUACAAACUAGAUACUAUUUUUAGCUGUGAAUUUAAAUUUAACCUUGAUGAAAUCACCACUGUAAUAAAAAUGCAGAAAAAUCUAGUGUUGCCAAUAUGCUUUAGGAAGGUCUUUCCCAUCCAACAGGGGAAUGACCUUUACUCCACUCGUGAAAAUGUGCAGACAUCACAUCAAGAAAAUGCUCAUAUUAGUCCCAUGUCUCUUUCCAAGACAGUCUAAUUAAACUUCACAUCCAGAAAGUACAUGGAGGAAUUAUUUUUACUCGGGCAAUUGAACCUCAAAAUAAAAAAAUGAACUCUAUUAAAAAAAAAUUCUACAAUACCCAAAUCCA